This 196-nucleotide ribosomal RNA is filed under the name uncultured bacterium. Its description in RNAcentral is "partial 16S ribosomal RNA". It matches the Rfam family "Bacterial small subunit ribosomal RNA", at positions 335 to 524 of the family's 1533-position model. The record is from RNAcentral.
ACUCCUACGGGAGGCAGCAGUGGGGAAUUUUGGACAAUGGGGGCAACCUGAUCCAGCCAUGCCGCGUGCGGGAAGAAGGCCUUCGGGUUGUAAACCGCUUUUAUUCGGAAAGAAGGAGUGGGGGUUAAUAGCUCUCAUGACAGACGGUACCGGAUGAAUAAGCACCGGCUAACUACGUGCCAGCAGCCGCGGUAAU